GGUCAUAGCUCAGUGGUAGAGCGCGUGCCUAGCACGUGUGAGGUACUGGGUUCAAUCCUCAGCACCA
RNAcentral lists this transfer RNA (67 nucleotides) under Marmota monax (woodchuck). RNAcentral's name for it is "tRNA.Ala". The record is from RNAcentral. Lineage: Eukaryota; Metazoa; Chordata; Mammalia; Rodentia; Sciuridae.